This 538-nucleotide ribosomal RNA is filed under the name uncultured bacterium. Its description in RNAcentral is "bacterial SSU rRNA". It matches the Rfam family "Bacterial small subunit ribosomal RNA", at positions 777 to 1312 of the family's 1533-position model. The record is from RNAcentral.
AAUAGAUACCCCCGGUAGUCCACGCCGUAAACGAUGAGUGCUAAGUGUUAGAGGGUUUCCGCCCUUUAGUGCUGAAGUUAACGCAUUAAGCACUCCGCCUGGGGAGUACGGCCGCAAGGCUGAAACUCAAAGGAAUUGACGGGGGCCCGCACAAGCGGUGGAGCAUGUGGUUUAAUUCGAAGCAACGCGAAGAACCUUACCAGGUCUUGACAUCCUCUGACAACCCUAGAGAUAGGGCUUCUCCUUCGGGAGCAGAGUGACAGGUGGUGCAUGGUUGUCGUCAGCUCGUGUCGUGAGAUGUUGGGUUAAGUCCCGCAACGAGCGCAACCCUUGAUCUUAGUUGCCAUCAUUAAGUUGGGCACUCUAAGGUGACUGCCGGUGACAAACCGGAGGAAGGUGGGGAUGACGUCAAAUCAUCAUGCCCCCUUAUGACCUGGGCUACACACGUGCUACAAUGGACGGUACAAAGAGCUGCAAGACCGCGAGGUGGAGCUAAUCUCAUAAAACCCGUUCUCAGUUCGGAUUGUAGGCUGCAACG